Molecule: long non-coding RNA, 2704 nt
Organism: Clupea harengus (Atlantic herring)
Lineage: Eukaryota; Metazoa; Chordata; Actinopteri; Clupeiformes; Clupeidae
Source: Ensembl
UUUCCAAUGAGUAGUAGCUUACAAAGAGCCGCAGAUAAUUUAUUCAAUAGAGCCCAGACAAUGGUAGGUGCAGACGGGAGAUGGAAUUCUCUGCGGAAUUUGAAGACAAUGCGCUGGCCUUUAGGUCACUCCGUUAGGGUCACGCUUAGGGAGAAAACGUCACGAGGUCAGACAAAUGGGAGGGCAACGGUAGUGUAAUUUUUCAAUCUGUGGACAGGGUAACGCGUGGUGUGUGUCGGGGAGGGGGAGGAGGUGCGAGCAUAAUUUGUGCGCAUUGUCUGCGGGAGAGGACGCGCCGAGAGAAAGCGGACGGGACUGCACGGUAGCAAGGCAGACCCGUCGAGAGCAGCAGGAGAAAGUAGACUCGCCGUAUAACACACAAGUUCCCGUUUCUCUUGCCUCAGUUUAGUUGAUCUUUGUAAACACGGCAUUCGUGAUAGGGAACUUCUGCCUCCAACUGUUGGGGAUUGUAAGCGUCACGGCUAUUUUUUUUUAACUUCGAACGAGGCAAACACAGUAAGGUACUCGUGUUUAGAUGGAGAAACUGGAGAACUGAACCCAAGUACGACUCAGUGUAAAAUAUACUUUAUUUGAGCGACGUGCGUGUUUUUGGCCGGAAAGUCAUUUCACUGAGGUGGACUCCGCUCUGAAGAAAGAUUUAUAUACUGGUGGAUGUAGGCUAUCUCGCGUAGUAAUCCAAAAGAGUGGACUGCCGCGGGACGAAAGAUCCUCGCAUCAAGCGGAGACCGUUGGGAAAUCACCAGCCACCCCACAUGUUUGAGUUUCAGCCCCCGGUGCACGCGGAGCACCUGUUCAGGACACUGUAUUUCACAGAGGUCGUCAGGCCGGGACUAUGGCUGGAUAUUAAAUGCCGUUUGUUACUCCGUCAUCCAUUCAGAAAAUAUUUAGCAUUUUUGCUGAAGAGACGGGGCUGAUAGUUCACUGAAGAAACGGCAAGACAGCCUAUAACUCUAAAGUUUCUAAAGUCUCUUGAACUGGAUACUCUAUCCCCGAACAUUUUAUACAGGUUAUUUGAAAUAGAUAACUAUUCAAGACCACAGGAAGACCUUUCAUCUAUGGAAUAACCUCACUGUUUUGACGCUGAGGAAGUGCCUAAUCUGGGUAAGACAUUUAUUCACACAAACUCGCUUCCCAGUCAUGGGAAACCUUUGUUUAAAAACAGUGCGCAACCAUAACCAAAUGAUUCAUUUGGGAGUGUAUCUUGCCCUGUUCAUUUGUAUUACGGGUUGCACUAUUCGAACGACACUAUUAUACUCUUUGCAACAAUUAAAUUAAAUAAAUCUAUUGGUCUAGGUAAACAACAAAGAACGUGUCAGGUGUGCAGAGUAGGUUAACGUGAGAUCUCCCAACCCCCUGUUUGGCUGAGAACAAUACGACCCCUGGGUGCCGUGGACUCUACACUAUUCCGAUAGGGACGUGCAGCCAACCGCAGGCUGCUAAUUCCCCAUUUCCUAAUUUAGCUUUCAUCGCCCUGUGAUGUUCGCUAUUUUGAACAGUGGGCAGACGUGUAUUAACGUGCACCUGCCAUGUCCGAUAUGUCUCCGGAGGCCUCGGGACCUGCUGUCCUGCCACCAGCCAGUGUGUCCCGUGCUGGAGAAGUGUCGCGCGGCGCACUAACGUGACUCACUGACCUAUUUGUGAGCCAUACUGCUGUCUCUUACUACACCUGUUAAUGCCGUGGCGUUAAGGCGCUCUUGCUUUAAACCUUCCCCGGUAGCUGCAGCUCUUCAUGUCUGCAAACAGGCCAAUAAUCUACUGGACAAUCAGCUGCUGUUUUCCCGACUCCGUACGCGGGACCUGCGCACCCAUGCGUGCCGCUAUCCGCGCUGGUAGUAGUAUUGGUGAUCGAUGAGGGGGUUCGAUGCUACUAUUACCAAUGCGGAAAUAGUAAAUCCCAGUCAUGUCCACGCUGCCACAACUGUUGGAAAGCAUCCCAGACUUGUGUUUUACUAUUGACUCUAGAUGCAUUGAAAACAUCCCAGACUACUGGCACUAGAUGCAUUGGCAGUGCAGUGAUUCGCAUAGUUUAUAGUUGAAGUUUAUAAACUGCGCACAUGUGUUACACACACGUUAUUAACACCUCCGAAGGGUACCCACAAGACCUGUUAGCUCACAGUUGCUCUGCACACACAUAUACACACCAACUACAUAAACAUGUGUCUGCAUCAUGGUCUGUAGCACCCUUUACAGUCACCACUUUGCUCUGUGUUUGCUGUCAUAUUAGUGAUCGCAUGGACCAGAAAGAGCUGUGUUUGCUGUCAUAUUAGUGAUGCAUGUACCAGUAAGAGCUGUGUUUGCUGUCAUACAGUAUUAGUGAUGCAUGGACCAGUAAAAGCUGUGUUUGCUGUGUCAGUGAUUGCAUGGAUCAGUAAGAGCUGUGUUUGCUGUCAUAUUAGUGAUGCAUGGAUCAGUAAGAGCUGUGUUUGCUGUGCCAGUGAUUGCAUGGACCAGUCAGAGCUGUGUUUGCGGUGCCAGUGAUUGCAUUGACCUGUAAGAGCUGUGUUUGCUGUGCCAGUGAUUGCAUGGACCAGUCAGAGCUGUGUUUGCUGUCAUAUUAGUGAUGCAUGGAUCAGUAAGAGCUGUGUUUGCUGUGCCAGUGAUUGCAUGGACCAGUCAGAGCUGUGUUUGCUGUCAUAUUAGUGAUGCAUGGAUCAGUAAGAGCUGUGUUUGCUGUGCCAGUGAU